RNAcentral lists this ribosomal RNA (497 nucleotides) under uncultured bacterium. Its description in RNAcentral is "partial 16S ribosomal RNA". It matches the Rfam family "Bacterial small subunit ribosomal RNA", at positions 28 to 507 of the family's 1533-position model. The record is from RNAcentral.
GAUGAACGCUGGCGGCGUGCCUAAUACAUGCAAGUCGAGCGAACAGACGAGGAGCUUGCUCCUUUGACGUUAGCGGCGGACGGGUGAGUAACACGUGGGUAACCUACCUAUAAGACUGGGAUAACUUCGGGAAACCGGAGCUAAUACCGGAUAAUAUUUCGCACCGCAUGGUUCGAUAGUGAAAGAUGGCUCUGCUAUCACUUAUAGAUGGACCUGCGCCGUAUUAGCUAGUUGGUAAGGUAACGGCUUACCAAGGCAACGAUACGUAGCCGACCUGAGAGGGUGAUCGGCCACACUGGAACUGAGACACGGUCCAGACUCCUACGGGAGGCAGCAGUAGGGAAUCUUCCGCGAUGGGCGAAAGCCUGACGGAGCAACGCCGCGUGAGUGAUGAAGGUCUUCGGAUCGUAAAACUCUGUUAUUAGGGAAGAACAAAAGUGUAAGUAACUGUGCACGUCUUGACGGUACCUAAUCAGAAAGCCACGGCUAACUACGUG